RNAcentral lists this ribosomal RNA (433 nucleotides) under uncultured bacterium. RNAcentral's name for it is "partial 16S ribosomal RNA". It matches the Rfam family "Bacterial small subunit ribosomal RNA", at positions 29 to 507 of the family's 1533-position model. The record is from RNAcentral.
AACGAACGCUGGCGGCAUGCCUAACACAUGCAAGUCGAACGAGACCUUCGGGUCUAGUGGCGCACGGGUGCGUAACGCGUGGGAACCUGCCCUUAGGUUCGGAAUAACUCCCCGAAAGGGGUGCUAAUACCGGAUAAUGUCUUCGGACCAAAGAUUUAUCGCCUUUGGAUGGGCCCGCGUUGGAUUAGCUAGUUGGUAGGGUAAAAGCCUACCAAGGCGACGAUCCAUAGCUGGUCUGAGAGGAUGAUCAGCCACACUGGGACUGAGACACGGCCCAGACUCCUACGGGAGGCAGCAGUGGGGAAUAUUGGACAAUGGGCGAAAGCCUGAGACAGCAAUGCCGCGUGAGUGAUGAAGGCCUUAGGGUUGUAAAGCUCUUUUACCCGGGAUGAUAAUGACAGUACCGGGAGAAUAAGCUCCGGCUAACUCCGUG